GGAUCAGACUGUCGGUCGUGCCUCGGUACGCACUGGCAUUAUUGGUUCCUACCUUCUGAAGAACCGCGAUGUCAUUAAUUUGGUGUCGUGGGGAAUCAGGACUGUUACUUUGAAAAAAUUAGAGUGUUUAAAGCAGGCAUUAGCUUGAAUACAUUAGCAUGGAAUAAUGAAAUAGGACGUUUGAUCCUAUUUUGUUGGUUUCUAGGAUUGACGUA
Molecule: ribosomal RNA, 215 nt
Filed under: Campeiostachys nutans
Lineage: Eukaryota; Viridiplantae; Streptophyta; Magnoliopsida; Poales; Poaceae
Description: Elymus nutans partial small subunit ribosomal RNA
Rfam family: Eukaryotic small subunit ribosomal RNA (bases 38-215)
Source: RNAcentral